This 468-nucleotide ribosomal RNA is filed under the name uncultured bacterium. Its description in RNAcentral is "partial 16S ribosomal RNA". It matches the Rfam family "Bacterial small subunit ribosomal RNA", at positions 28 to 507 of the family's 1533-position model. The record is from RNAcentral.
GACGAACGCUGGCGGCGUGCUUAACACAUGCAAGUCGAACGGAAAGGCCCUGCUUUUGUGGGGUGCUCGAGUGGCGAACGGGUGAGUAACACGUGAGUAACCUGCCCUUGACUUUGGGAUAACUUCAGGAAACUGGGGCUAAUACCGGAUAGGAGCUCCUGCUGCAUGGUGGGGGUUGGAAAGUUUCGGCGGUUGGGGUUGGACUCGCGGCUUAUCAGCUUGUUGGUGGGGUAGUGGCUUACCAAGGCCUUGACGGGUAGCCGGCCUGAGAGGGUGACCGGCCACAGUGGGACUGAGAUGCGGCCCAGACUCCUACGGGGGGCAGCAGUGGGGAAUAGUGCACGAUGGGCGGAAGCCUUAUGCAGCAACGCCGCGUGCUGGAUGACGGCCGUCGGGUUGGAAACCGUUUGCGCCUGUGACGAAGCGUGAGUGACGGUAAUGGGUAAAGAAGCACCGGCUAACUACGUG